GUAGGGAAUAUUGGGCAAUGGAUGCAAGUCUGACCCAGCCAUCCCGCGUGCCGGAAGAAGGCCCUCAGGGUUGUAAACGGCUUUUGACGGUGAAGAAUCGACAGGAUGCGUCCUGUUUUGACGGUAGCCGUUGAAUAAGCACCGGCUAACUCCGUGCCAGCAGCCGCGGUAAUACGGAGGGUGCGAGCGUUGUCCGGAUUUAUUGGGUUUAAAGGGUGCGUAGGCUGGAAGGUCAGUCAGCGGUGAAAAGCUGUCGCUUAACGAUAGUCUUGCUGCAGAUACUUCCUUUCUUGGGUGAGGAGGAGGCCACUGGAACGGAUGGUGUAGCGGUGAAAUGCAUAGAUAUCAUCCAGAACACCGAUUGCGAAGGCAGGUGGCUGUACCUUAAUCGACGCUGAUGCACGAAAGCAUGGGGAGCAAACAGGAUUAGAAACCCGGGUAGUCC
RNAcentral lists this ribosomal RNA (445 nucleotides) under uncultured bacterium. Its description in RNAcentral is "partial 16S ribosomal RNA". It matches the Rfam family "Bacterial small subunit ribosomal RNA", at positions 354 to 796 of the family's 1533-position model. The record is from RNAcentral.